Danaus plexippus (monarch butterfly) is the source of this 377-nucleotide long non-coding RNA. RefSeq lists it as uncharacterized. The transcript has 3 exons. NCBI's taxonomy places the organism in Eukaryota, Metazoa, Arthropoda, Insecta, Lepidoptera, Nymphalidae. The record is from RefSeq and is a predicted model, not a curated record.
UUGAGAAAUCCAAUACCAGUACUGAUGGUCCUGAAGGAGUCAUCGGUACUGGUCUUUUUUAAAAAUGUAAACAGCGCUCAAAAUCCAACAUACGGAAUAACAGUUCGAUUGACGCGUUCAAAACUACAUAUUCACAGAAAGAAGACUAUUGAUGCCGUUUAAAGUAAAGAAGCAAAAACUGUCAUACUUUUGUGAACCAUGCAUCACAUAAAUUUCUUCACCAAACUAUACCAGAUGUGUACCUUCGGACGAGAAAACUUGCAGAAUAAUAAAGUCCCGCCCAGAUGUUCGUUUCGUUGAGUCAGCAGCGGUUCUCAUUAUAUUAUGUAAUUUUUUCUAUACUAUAUUGUGACCACGGCUAUUUUGUAAUAAAUGUU